This is a long non-coding RNA of Pygocentrus nattereri (red-bellied piranha), 2962 nucleotides long. The record is from Ensembl. Lineage: Eukaryota; Metazoa; Chordata; Actinopteri; Characiformes; Serrasalmidae.
AUGUUGCUUCCUAUCACAUUUUGUUUGCACCCUAACAGGAUUAUGAAAGCAUCCCAGGCCGAGUGUUUUCUGCGCACCCACCUGUGCAGAAUUGUAGAGCGUGUGAGAAAUGUGGACAGUUUGGUUGACUUCCUGAGUCAACCACGUUCCUCUGAGCAGAGCCUUCUUUCUAAAGAAAUGGUCAGUAAGAUCCGUGCUCAGAAAACAGAGGAAGCUAAAAUGCGUAAACUUUAUGAGCACCUGAACUCAACCAGAGGAUGGGAGUUGACACUGCAAUGGCUGAAGGACAAUGAGCCUGAUGUGAUUAAAGAGCUGGAAAACAGCAGCGAGGCAGACAGUGAAGCCCCAGCAAGAAAGAGGUGCAGAAGCUCUGCAGAAGUGGAUCAGACAGACAGUGGCCUUGCAGCACCUAAUCUCAAGACCCUGUUCACCUUUGCCAGCAUGGAAAAAUGGGUCUCUGAUUUGGAAAACAGCCAGAAACACACUGAUGAGCUGAAAGCCAAACUUGCAGGUGGUCAAAUGGAGGCACUGAAAGAAAACCUGAAAGAUAAGAAGCUGAAAAAAAGUUUUUAUUUCAGCAUCAGUGAGGUUAAAAAAAUUGACAGUAACCGAAAACUUAAGUUAUUUUUACAGUCACAGGGUGUGGAGUUUCCUGACAUUGCGGUAGAUUUGUUUUUUGAGAGAGAUGCAGAGCUGAGGCCUCAAAAUGUUCGAAAGCAAGCAAAAAAACUCCAAAGAAAACCUCCAAAGCCUGAUUUAGAAGAUGACGCACCACCAGAGGGCACCACUGUGGACAUGCAGCAGAUUGUGAGUGCAAACAUGCAGUAUGAUUCCGGACUGGGCAGCAGUGAGCCUCAUGAGGCAGAGGAGAACAGGAAAGACUGGGCAGCAGAUAAAGACACAAUGACACAGGAGGUCAGUGACCAGGCAGCAGAUAAAGACACGAUGACACAGGAGCUCAGUGACCGGGCAGCAGAAAAAGACAAAACGCCACAGGAGCUCAGUGACCGGGCAGCAGAAAAAGACAAAACGCCACAAGAUCAGAAAGAAAACAAGUUGAAUAAACAUCACAGGCUGCUGUGUGAAUGGGUAAAGAAAAAAUGCCACAGUAAGGAAAACGUCAAAAAAACGUUCGACUGCAUUUCAAUUAAAAAUCAAGUGGUGCACAGUGAGUACCCGUGCUUCAUUGCAGAAAAGGUCAUGGUGUAUACAGACCCCCAAACUGGAGUAAGACAGAUCAUUGUCCCUGAUAAGAAGAAUGAGGCUGCCAAGAAAAACCUCUUAAAGGACACUAGAAUUUCCCUCAAUUAUCAUAUGUGGGUCUGUGGUGUUCAGAGUGCAGUGCUCAUCAAUCAGGAAGAAAAAGUCAUUCAUUAUGACCCGUCUUUUGAAGCCACUAUAAAACUGUGUGAAAGGUUGGUGUUUGAAGUCUUUGUCCCGACUCUAAUAUUGUUCAAGAACCUGCAGAGAGAGAUGUUCGACUCUCUCAUCACAACCACUAAAGAUCUCUACGGCGCUGACGUCGUGGACUCACAGGCAGAGUGAUUCAUUUACCUGCGUUCCAUGUCAUAUUUGAUUGGGAUUUGAAGUCUCUAUGCAGUAAAUGCCUGUUUGUUCUGCACAUCUCCACACAUACAAAGACAUUUUUUCCCCUUUCAUUCUGUCCACACAAGCCCUGAAAAGAAAAUUCAUGAAAAUGAAAACUGUCAGGCCGCUAAAGAGCAUGCCAGAACAUAAUGUAGUGUAGUGUGAUUCAAUUGCUUCACACACUUGCCUUAACAUUUUCAAAACCAGCUGUCUUGACAAUCCAAACGUUUGACGUCUGGCGUGAUCUCCCCUCAUCUGCUCCACAGCAGGGCAUGCGGGCGACUUUUCUAACACUGACAGGCGAUUUCAUUACAGUUGUCUGCUCUUCAACGUGCAGACGAAGCAGCUCACUCAACAACAACAGUGAUGUCCUUGACAAGCAAAGACUUUCUUGCCAUUCUUCUUCAACAAAUGCUUCGUUUUCAAAGUUGUAUCGUCUUGUCCAAAACUGGCGAUGUUGGUGGCAGGAUCGGUGUCGUGGGAGUGCUGGACCUAGCAGUGACCUCUUUAGCAGACUCCAACACCUCUGUUCUUCAGUGCAGCGUAGGGGAACCUGCAGAUUUAUGUGUAAACAUGUGACAAGUCCUCAUCUUCAAUCACACAAAACCAAGUGGUUGGUGUAGUGUAGUGGGUAACACCUGCCUGCUAUGCUGGGGAUCUACACACACACACCCCUAGUGGUGGACAGUAACUGAGUAAAUGUAAUGAGUUUCUGUACUUUAGUAUUUUUGGUGUAUCUGUACUGAAGUUUCUCCGUUCUGGGCGACUUUUUCCUUUCACUCCGCUACAUUUCAGAGUCUAAUAUCCGACUUUUUCCUCCUACAUUCUGAGAAAUCUGUCGUUCCUUUUGGUUUCUGUGUGUAUAAAUACGUAACAUGUCAAAACGAAAGAAGCGCAAAGCCAGAGCACCAAUCAGGGCCCAGCGGUCACUUUGUUUAGAGCUGGUUUUGACCUGUUGGUCAUACCGACCCAGUGCAGCACGCGGUUCAACGUCAGCGCAGCAGCGUAAAACUUUGGGAGAGUCUGUUCAACAUAAAUGAUGAACUAACCUAACUUUGUGUAAAUAGAGCACAAUGUAGAAAUAUGUCCACAUAUGCAGUCGAGACUGACGCGUUUCUAUUUUUCCAACUUUUUUUUUUAUACAUUUAAGUAGCAAAGUUAUGUAAGUAUGUUAUGUAGGCUGGGGUAAGGAAGGAGCGGUCAUGCGACUAUAAAAAGGGAGUCAGAUGAGAAGGGGUCAGAGCUGACUUGGGAGAUACAUGAUGCAUGUUCUCUGUUUGUAACCUCUCCAGAAUUCCGUAAUAAAACCGUUUGUUUCACUUCAGUCUGAUCUACUCGUCUCAUUUAUUUUGCAUCAACGAACACGCAGGACUGG